CCCUUAGAUGUUCUGGGCCGCACGCGCGCUACACUGAUGCAUUCAACGAGUUUCUUCCUGGUCCGAGAGGAAUGGGUAACCUUUUGAAAGUGCAUCGUGACAGGGAUAGACUAUUGCAAUUAUUGGUCUUCAACGAGGAAUUCCUAGUAGACGUAGUUCAUCAGACUGCAUCGAUUACGUCCCUGCCCUUUGUACACACCGCCCGUCGCUCCUACCGAUUGAAUGCUCAGGUGAGCCAUUCGGACUUUCAUCAUGCUGGUUUCCAGUUUUGAUGAAGGAAAGUCUUGCGAACCUUAUCAUUUAGAGGAAGGAGAAGUCGUAACA
RNAcentral lists this ribosomal RNA (324 nucleotides) under uncultured eukaryote. RNAcentral describes it as "partial 18S ribosomal RNA". It matches the Rfam family "Eukaryotic small subunit ribosomal RNA", at positions 1470 to 1796 of the family's 1831-position model. The record is from RNAcentral.